AACAUAUUCAGCAACUAAACACGGGUCAGCUAGUACCUAGUAAUACCUAUUAAUAUCAUGUUUAUAGUCGUGUCAGUAUUAAUUUAUAAUAGGUACCUACACGGUAGUUCUCUGCGGACAUCGACCAAGGAAAUUAUAUUAACAGGCCUAGUUUGACGUGCGAUUGAAUUCCAGUCGAAAACAGUGGACGGAACGAUAAUCUCAGGACCUUCGAUGCAUUGGAAGAUGCCAAAUAAGACGGUCACCGCCGUUCUGUUUUUGCUGGUGUUGGCACCGUUAGCGACCGGCAGCGGCGGCGACGACAAGUCAUUGCACACACGGACCGCCUCCCGGUGCACCAAUAAAAUUGCUCGGACCACGAGCCGCGGAAUAUAGAGCAGAUCAAAGCGUCGAUACUGAACAAGCUAGGCAUGAAACAGCCACCGGACUUCGGUGGUCGGGUGUCCAAAGGUCUGCCACCGCUGCAAGAUAUCAUACGCAAGGACAAUAUCGACCACAGCGGCAGCGUGGUGGUGCUCCCGCACAUCCGACACAGGUCACACCACCUAGACGCGACUGACGACAGCACCUCUGAUCUGCAGAGCGACGAAGCGACGGCUUAUUCCAGGGGCUGAAUAGUGUGUCCCCUGAAAAUCAAAAUGUGUCCCCUGAAUGACAAAGGACAUAUAGCGCUCCCGGUGGUGACGUCUAUCUGUAGUAAAAUUUUCAAUCAAGUUUUCAAACAAGUGACGACACCUUAUCAAUACACCUUGGUCUCGACUCUAUAUACCCAUCAAGGACAUACAUAUUUAUUAUUUAUAUAUUAUAAGAUACAUCAUAUCACAUACUUAUCUAAAAAUAUUAUGCUUUAAUGAGGUGUUUAUUCGUACCUAUGUGAUUAUAUAAUAGGAAAACUAUAUAAUAUUUUUAUGUGAUUUGGUAAUAUUUAUA
Molecule: unclassified non-coding RNA, 930 nt
Filed under: Acyrthosiphon pisum (pea aphid)
Lineage: Eukaryota; Metazoa; Arthropoda; Insecta; Hemiptera; Aphididae
Description: uncharacterized LOC100572705, transcript variant X4
Source: RNAcentral